AUUCAUCUGACGAGUCCAAAAUAGGAUGAAACGUGCAUCCUAUAU
RNAcentral lists this non-coding RNA (45 nucleotides) under Schistosoma mansoni. The record is from RNAcentral. Lineage: Eukaryota; Metazoa; Platyhelminthes; Trematoda; Strigeidida; Schistosomatidae.